UUCAUGUAUUAAAUUAUGUUGGAAACAAAUUGGCACUCCUAGUGGGACCAAAUCUGCCCUUCAUCUCCUCUCUCAUAAAUCAAUCUGCAAAUCUGUAGCCGCCGUAUAAAGAUGGAAGCUCUACUAGUACUUCAAGACUCGACAUCAAAUCUACACCCCGACAAGCCUUGAAGUAGGGGGAAUUUGUAUACAUCUAAAAUUUGUGGGACUCUUCAAGAAGAAUCCCAAUUCUGUAGGCUACUUUACCCUAAAUCCGGCUUAUUUAAAGGGUAACAUAUUCUCUGAAACAGGCAUCUUGAAUAUUCCAUAAACUGAUGGGUAUUCGUAAAAAGAUCAAAAUCUCCAAUAUCCAACAAAAUUAUGGGAUAUUUAUAAAGAGAUCAUCCUAUGUUUGAGAAAUACACCACUAAAGGCCCUCGAAUUACGGAGAAAAUCAAGAGAAGAACAAAGAGAGGAACAGAUUCAUAACCACAUCGUUUAUCAAUAAAAUUAUUGUUUCUUCAUAGUUUUAUUUGUGGUUGAAGUUUACUUUCCAUGAAUUAAAUUAUGUUGGAAACAAAUUGGCACGCCCAGUGGGACCAAAUCUGCCCUUCAUCUCUUCUAUCAUAAAUCAGAUCUGCAAAUCCAUAGCUGCUGCAUAAAGAUGGAAACUCUAUUGGUACUUCAAGACUAGUCAUCAAAUCUACAUUUUGACAAGCCUUGAAGUAGGGGGCAUUUGCAGACAUCUAAAAUUUGUGGGACACUUCAAGAAGAAUCCAAAUUCUGUUAGAGUUCUAGGAGCUACUUUACCCUAAAUCUCGCCUAUUUAAAGGGUAACAUAUUCCCAAAACAGGCAUCUUGAAUAUCCCAAAAACUGAUGGGUAUUCGUAAAAAUAUUAGGAUCUCUAAUAUCCCACAAAAUCAUGAGAUAUUCAUAAAGAGAUCAUCCUAUGUUCAAGAAAUACACCACUAACGGCCC
Molecule: long non-coding RNA, 958 nt
Filed under: Capsicum annuum
Lineage: Eukaryota; Viridiplantae; Streptophyta; Magnoliopsida; Solanales; Solanaceae
Description: long non-coding RNA (CANN_LNC016311)
Source: RNAcentral